GGAGUGGUAGUUCAGUUGGUUAGAAUACCGGCCUGUCACGCCGGAGGUCGCGGGUUCGAGUCCCGUCCACUCCGCCA
RNAcentral lists this transfer RNA (77 nucleotides) under Escherichia coli. RNAcentral describes it as "tRNA-Asp". It matches the Rfam family "tRNA". Rfam says of the family: Transfer RNA (tRNA) molecules are approximately 80 nucleotides in length. Their secondary structure includes four short double-helical elements and three loops (D, anti-codon, and T loops). Lineage: Bacteria; Pseudomonadati; Pseudomonadota; Gammaproteobacteria; Enterobacterales; Enterobacteriaceae. The record is from RNAcentral. RNAcentral also lists the same sequence under 2 other names.